GUUUUCUAAGAGCUAAUCAAAUAAAGAAUUUAACUUUAUAUGGUAUUUUAAAUCCAAACUUUCAGCAGAAGGUAAUCACCGGACACCCUCCGUCUCUAAGCAAAUUAUAUACAGACUUAACGGUAAAAUACAGCUUCGCAUUCCAUCUCCAGCAAAUUUUAUCAGUCUCAUCAACAACGCAAACGUCUGAUAGUAGCACUCUGA
Molecule: long non-coding RNA, 204 nt
Filed under: Ananas comosus (pineapple)
Lineage: Eukaryota; Viridiplantae; Streptophyta; Magnoliopsida; Poales; Bromeliaceae
Description: long non-coding RNA (ACOM_LNC003987)
Source: RNAcentral